CUUUUUUCAAGAUAAAUUAUGCUUUGGCAUUCUUAAGAAUAGUGUCAUUGAAAAUAAUCUUCUCCCAGAGCUCAUACUGUGCUGAUUGUGAUUCUGAUAGAACAUUUAUGCAUUUACAUAAUAAAUCUUUUUGAAGUAAUUUUAAAAUUUAUUAAAAGUCAGUACAAUUAAUUUUCAUCCUCUGUUUGAAGUUUUAAAAUUAAAUCUGUGAUUAACCUUUUAUCACCUAAAUAUAUUGACUGAUAGUCAUGCUUGCUAAAAAUGGAAUUUAUGGGUCUGAAUGCUGGUCUAAUUUGACAAUCUUACACCACUGUUUUGAUUCCAUUUCUUAGUGUUGCUUGUCAUGUCUUUCCCUUUUAGGACUCCAUUUACUCUGUCUUCACAGAUGGUAGAAACAGACAAGACUAUUUACAGGUCCUAGUGUGUUCUGGAGAGGAGAGGUUUUUCCCAAGCCUGCAUGUUGAUGUUCAUCAUAGGGAGUCUGACGGAGGCCUGCUGAACUGCAGCACUCCUGCUGCAGCCACUCAAAUAUUCAGAAGGAAGUUCUGCUGUAAUAAAACUUCAAAGAGGUAACGACUGAGGACCUGCUCUUCCCCUGUUAGUUUUCCUCCCUAUCUCUGGUAGCUGAACAGUUUCCUAAUGACUGGUGACUGAAAGCAUGGCUGCCACAUGUCAAGAGUGCUGCUCAGGUGGUAGGUACAUGGCCAGUCAGCAUUUUGGCCCGGUGAUAGCCAUUUUCUGGUCAUACGACUAAAAAAAUAGGCUAUUCCAUCUUUGACAAAGAGAGGGUUAGCCUUUGCAGGAAAAAGAGACAUAUUCUUGCCUGGGCAGUGGUUCCUGUACUCCAGCUACAGAGAUCUAAGCAUCAGUUAAAAAAAUCAAGGUAGGGUAACAUUCCUUCUGUUCAGUAACAGAGGAAAAAUCUUCAGACUGGCAUGGGGUGGUGUUGAGACUGGAGGGGGUGUUUCCAUUGCCUGGAAACAUGGAUUUUCACAUUGGCUUUGGAGCAGCCGAUUAAAUCCUCAAGGUGCACCCAAACUUAGUUACCUGGGCUCUUGAAACAUCCCAUAGAAGCCCAUACAUGGUUUAAAGAUGCCUCUGUCUUGCUCUUCCUUCCCCUUUUCUCUCCUAUUGUGAAACUACAGGAUUUCUACUAAGUUUUGGUGAAGUGUAGCAAAUAGUGUAAUUCUUUAUACAUAUAACAUCCUGGUUUGUGCAAGCAAUUAGGAAACUGAAUGUCGUGCCCAGAUGGGGACCUGAUCCUCUGUGCCUUGGCUCCGGUCCUGCAUUAGAUUUGUAGGGAGUGUGACCUACAUUCUCUUCCAAAGAAGGCUGAGUAGGAAGGGAC
RNAcentral lists this long non-coding RNA (1348 nucleotides) under Cyanistes caeruleus (blue tit). RNAcentral describes it as "lncRNA (ENSCCEG00000023529.1)". The record is from RNAcentral. Lineage: Eukaryota; Metazoa; Chordata; Aves; Passeriformes; Paridae.